Long non-coding RNA from Sceloporus undulatus (fence lizard), 1069 nucleotides. RefSeq lists it as uncharacterized. The transcript is spliced from 3 exons. NCBI's taxonomy places the organism in Eukaryota, Metazoa, Chordata, Lepidosauria, Squamata, Phrynosomatidae. The record is from RefSeq and is a predicted model, not a curated record.
GCCUGGCUCCCUUCUUAGUCCCGGAAAUGCAAAGGUUCAGGAUGCCUUCAGGGCCCCACUGAGCAUGUGCAAGGGUCCCAAUUCGAAGCAUUGAAUCCCCCAUGGUAUGCACUGGUGUGGAACUACAAUUUGCACUCACUCCGCUUUCCCUGAAUCCGCAUCAUGUGACUUCCUUCAAUUCGAUUCCUCCUCAGUUCAGAAGAGCAACAGAAGAGCAACCAGAAUAUUUGGAUUCCCAGCUGUGUGAAUAACCGAUGUGAAGAAACCCAGGAUAAAUCUGAAUAAAAAUCCGUAUGCCGUGAACAUGCUUUGAAUACAUUGCAUAAUUGACGACAUCUUUAUUCGAGUGCUGACAUGUGUGAGCAACUGAUCUUGCAGAGAUGCACAGAGAUGAGGUGAACAACAUAUCUAGAAUGCAUGUGCCUCCUCUCACUGGACCAGCUUGCACCAUAUGGAGAGUGAGGAGAGGAAAACAGGUCACACAGAAAUGCUCUGCAUAUACCAGCCAUCAAGUGAAUCAAUCUGUGGCACAAGCAUUUCUGCUUAAUUGUCAUUGACUUACCCAUUUAUUUCUAAGCUUGCCUUUGGCAAUAUUUAUUGACAACUAGCAAAAAUAUUUUAUUGACUUGCAAACCAAUGCCCGUACUAGAAUUUUGGCUCAUUCACAUAAAGUUGGGUGAGAGUUUUGUGGCACUCUGGAUGUUAUUGGACUGCAUUUCCCGGUAUGGUGAAAAAUAAUCCUGGUAGAAUGUGAGUUGAAUAUUUCUUGUUCACAUCUAUUUCAAAUGAACCUGAGAAAGCUAGUGGUGUGUGCAAACACACACACACCCCACAUAACCCAGAAUAACUGAUCUUGGGUUCUUUCUCAGCUUUUCCUAAAAGAUUUGCAUUGUCAGCUGUGUGAAUAACUGAAUGUGAAUGGAAAGAUAAAUUGUGAUAAAGUUCUGCAUGCCUUAAAUAUGUUUUGAAUGCAUCUGCACCAUCAACGCUAUCUUUCUGUGCAGUGCUGACACAUGUAAGCAAAAGAAUUUGCAGAGAUGCACAUAGAUGAGGUUCUGAUAAAAAAAAA